Molecule: ribosomal RNA, 164 nt
Filed under: uncultured bacterium
Lineage: Bacteria
Description: partial 16S rRNA
Rfam family: Bacterial small subunit ribosomal RNA
Source: RNAcentral
UAGGGAAUCUUCCACAAAUGGGCGAAGCCUGAUGGAGCAACGCUGCGUGUGUGAUGAAGGGUUUCGGCUCGUAAAACACUGUUGUAAGAGAAGAAUGACAUUGAGAGUAACUGUUCAAUGUGUGACGGUAUCUUACCAGAAAGGAACGGCUAAAUACGUGCCAC